UAUCAGGUAGUAGUGGGUGUAAUGUACCUACUAGCCAGCGACGGGUACGGGUUGUGAGAGCAAGAGCCCGGAGAUGGAUUCUGAGACAUGAAUCCAGGCCCUACGGGGCGCAGCAGGCGCGAAAACUUUACAAUGCGGGAAACCGUGAUAAGGGGACACCGAGUGCCAGCAUCAUAUGCUGGCUGUCCGGAUGUGUAAAAUACAUCCGUUAGCAAGGGCCGGGCAAGACCGGUGCCAGCCGCCGCGGUAACACCGGCGGCCCGAGUGGUGAUCGUGAUUAUUGGGUCUAAAGGGUCCGUAGCCGGUUUGGUCAGUCCUCCGGGAAAUCUGAUAGCUCAACUAUUAGGCUUUCGGGGGAUACUGCCAGACUUGGAACCGGGAGAGGUAAGAGGUACUACAGGGGUAGGAGUGAAAUCUUGUAAUCCCUGUGGGACCACCUGUGGCGAAGGCGUCUUACCAGAACGGGUUCGACGGUGAGGGACGAAAGCUGGGGGCACGAACCGGAUUAGAUACCCGGGUAGUCCCAGCCGUAAACGAUGCUCGCUAGGUGUCAGGCAUGGCGCGACCGUGUCUGGUGCCGCAGGGAAGCCGUGAAGCGAGCCACCUGGGAAGUACGGCCGCAAGGCUGAAACUUAAAGGAAUUGGCGGGGGAGCACAACAACGGGUGGAGCCUGCGGUUUAAUUGGACUCAACGCCGGACAACUCACCGGGGGCGACAGCAAUAUGUAGGCCAAGCUGAAGACUUUGCCUGAAUCGCUGAGAGGAGGUGCAUGGCCGUCGCCAGUUCGUACUGUGAAGCAUCCUGUUAAGUCAGGCAACGAGCGAGACCCGUGCCCACUGUUACCAGCAUGUCCUCCGGGACGAUGGGUACUCUGUGGGGACCGCCGAUGUUAAAUCGGAGGAAGGUGCGGGCCACGGUAGGUCAGUAUGCCCCGAAUCUCCCGGGCUACACGCGGGCUACAAUGGAUGGGACAAUGGGUCCCUCCCCUGAAAAGGGCUGGUAAUCUCACAAACCCAUUCGUAGUUCGGAUCGAGGGCUGUAACUCGCCCUCGUGAAGCUGGAAUCCGUAGUAAUCGCGU
Molecule: ribosomal RNA, 1080 nt
Filed under: Methanosarcina mazei
Lineage: Archaea; Methanobacteriati; Methanobacteriota; Methanomicrobia; Methanosarcinales; Methanosarcinaceae
Description: bacterial SSU rRNA
Rfam family: Archaeal small subunit ribosomal RNA
Source: RNAcentral